CGGACCUCGGGGAAGGGGUGGCGCCACCAAAAAGCCCUUCCAAUACUCUUCUGCCUGGCACCGCCUGGUCGCCACUAGCCCGGAUGCCACACCCUGCACACGCUGAGAACUGGAACUAAGGCCAUGACUUGGGCUAGCACAUCGCCCCCUGGUGGCUAGGAGGCCAACUCAGGGCCGCGCGCACACACAACAGCACUGGCUGCGGGUCUUUCGUGAAUGUCUGGAAAUAAGCCCACUGCAAACCAUGUGCGGGGCCCGAGCCGCACACAAAAGCCACUGAGUUCACGGGUCUGCACGCAGCACCGCUGGGGGCCACGGGGCACGAGAAUGCCGACCUUGUCGGAGACCCUCGGGAGCUCGGUGCCCAGGGCAGCCCUCAGCGAUGGAGCCGCCCCUGCCGAGGUGGCACAGGACCCAGCCACUCACCAGCGCUGCUCCCCUCCUCCACCUUGCUGACAAAGAUCCCCAGACCAUGCUCGGAGCCGCCCCGCACGCUGAACCCCAGCCUCCCGGCUGGACUCUUCUCCACGUGGACUGCAUGGAUGACGUCACUUUCGUCGCUGUUGGCUGUGAGGAAGGGGACACAGGUGUGAGCCUGCGUUCAGUCUGGGCACAGAGGGCCCCUGGCUUCCCCAAUGUGGGGCCUGUAAAGGAUGGGCUGCUGGGCACAGCCACAUGAGCACUGAGGGUCCUAACGGGUGUGCACGUCAAUUCCCAGGUGCCCCGUUUUGAGACCAUGGGCCGCAGAGGGUGUGGGAGCGGGUGAGAGCAGCUAGACAGUAUGUGUGUGUCUGUGUCCAAUGUUUACAGUUUCCCAUGCCCACAUUCCUAAAAGCCCCCACCACUUAGACCGUCAGACCAGAUGGACAGAAAGGAAGGCUCAAGAUUCCACCCUGGAUCACAGCUGAGGGGAGCCCGGCCCUUCGAGCACACUGACACCAACUUCAAUAACUGUGGCACCGUCCUGUAGGAAGCAUGAAAUGUUCUUGCCUGAGGAACCCAGAGGGCAGAACCAAGCCCACAUUGCAGAAUUAGAUGUAGUCACGCUAAAUUGCCUAGUACGCUGGUCUCAAACUGGUGAUCCUCCCACUUGCCUCUAAAGCAGCUGAGGUUACCAGCGAGCGCCACACUGCCAGGCCCCUCCUUCUGCUCCUGAAGCCUAGGGACAGAGCCGGUCGCACUGCCUUCCUUGAGCCUCACCUGCAAAGGCGCACACACAUGGAUUUUGAGAAGGGGCAUCCUUACCAGGCCAGCGCAGGGCCCGACCCACCUUCGAUGGGGGAGUUGAUGAGGAUCACUCGGCCCAUGGGCGAGGAGGCUCGGAUUCCGCGGGAGGGCCCACUCAGCAGCCGCUGUUGCCUUCUCAACAGGUCUCAAGCCCCGCCUCUCCCACCCGGGAUAGAGGUCUGUGGGUCCAGCUCGCUGGCUCGGACCUGUGGCGCCAUUCCACCACAGAAUGGACGCGGAACUCUCUGCACCCCUCAUUUCCACUCUCCCUGAUCCCCAGUCCUCCGCAGAGGUAAAGCUGAACAUGGAGAAGGGUUGCAAGGAGACGCCGGGCCCUGGGCCUUCAAGAGGAGUGAGAAAAUGCAGGAUCAUCCCCAGGGUCUUCUCUCGCGUGUGCGGGGAGGGUUCGGCCUGGGGAUGGAGCUCAGGACCCCAGAUCCCCGGGCCCAGGCUGCGGCUCGGUGUGCAGCGGCUGCAUGGCUUCUCCGCACGCAUGGGCGAAGGAUCUGCUGGCA
Molecule: long non-coding RNA, 1742 nt
Organism: Fukomys damarensis (Damara mole-rat)
Lineage: Eukaryota; Metazoa; Chordata; Mammalia; Rodentia; Bathyergidae
Exons: 5
Source: RefSeq, a predicted model, not a curated record